This is an RNA transcript of Vicia villosa (hairy vetch), 1541 nucleotides long. It is a transcript of the gene named isocitrate dehydrogenase [NAD] regulatory subunit 1, mitochondrial-like, with no coding region annotated. The transcript has 3 exons. Lineage: Eukaryota; Viridiplantae; Streptophyta; Magnoliopsida; Fabales; Fabaceae. The record is from RefSeq and is a predicted model, not a curated record.
UUCUAUUUUCCUUCUUUCUCUCUUCCACUCAUUUAACUCUUCCAUUUCUUCAAACUUCUCUUUUCUCUGUCAAAUCUACAUUCUUCCUCUUCUCUCUUCAUCUGACUUUUCCAUUUUUUAAUUCUUCCCUCAUGGUUCUUCUAUGGUGGCUUCAAACAUAACACACUAAACCAAAUCUACUGCAAAGCUUUUAUUUUGAAACCCUAACCGAUGUCACAAAUGGAAGUGAUGCACACGCCUGUUUACUUCGAGAAAUUUGGUGUGCAUGGUGAUAUGAAAGUUGUUUCCAUGGAGGUUCUUGAAUCGAUCCGUAAGAAUAAGGUUUCAAUGGUUGUGUAUGUUUCCAACAGUUAUACGAAGAAGAUGGAGAUAUUUUUGUGGGUUAUGGCUUCAUUUCAAGCAAGGAAGUAGAAAAGGCAAAUAUGAUUUUUUUUGAUGUGGUUGUGGAGGAAAUCUUCUUCUUUCCGAUGAGACUGAGACGAUAGCUAAGAGUUGAGAGAUAUCUUCUACACCAUUUGCAAAAGGUAAUACUUAACAUUAAGGUGGAAAGGUGGUUUGACUAUACCAGUUCCCUCCCUGUGCUGCUAAGUGGUCUAAUAAUAUCCAAUUGCAAUUAUAUUUGUUUAAACUAAGGCUUUUAUCAUAACUCUGUACUCUUUUAAAUUCUUAAGUUAUGGUUUUCUGUUUCCAUCAGGGUUCAGGGUGAUCUGCUUGCUAUAUAGACUAUGGUGAGAUUGUGAUUAUUUGUAAGUUGAAAUUCCAUUUUAAUGUAAUUUUGUUUUGAAUAACAUUGGAAGUUUUUUCGAUUUCUGUGGUUGUUGCAAUUGCAACAGGUCGUGAUUGUGAACUUCAGUUGCUUGGAGCAAAGGGGUAUCAAUCAGAAUCGGGGAGACGGCGGCGGCUAAGUGGUAUCAAUCAUAAAUGUAAUGUAAUUCUGUUUUUCUUAAUCAUAUAGUGAAAACUAAUUUAAAACUCUCCAUAGGUUGCAGUUUUCAAUGUAUAUGAUAUAGUUUUCAUUCUCAUGGAUUCCAGGGCAAACAUGGAGUAUAAAAAUUCACAAGGUAAUUAAUACUUUACCUUCCUAAAAUUCAGCUGAUUACAGUUUCAGCCCGACAUAAACCAUUUGUCGUGUUAGAUUUUUCAUAUCACUCACCAUGUGUCUUCAGCAGUGGUUUUUCAAGUAUGCAACAGUUGUUAUUCCCAGUUUAGCCCUUGAGUAAGGUGUCUAUUUUGAGUGUUAGUCAAAGGGAGGCCAUAUAUGUCAUUCCUUUUAUUGCCUAUAUAAAGGUCUUAGUAGUGUUGUAAUUGGUUGAGUUUGUUUUGAUUGAGAAAUCUUAUAGAAGUCUUUAUUAUUGUCUAUAGAGGUUUUUAGUGGAUUUGUGUUUUAUGUUGUUCACGCACUCCAGAAAAGUUUAAGAGUUGUAAUUUUCCAAUGUACUGGAUUGAGCAUUCUUUAUGCCUAUGUUUUAAUGCAUUUUAUUUUUUAAUGUUAAAAUAAAAUUCAUCUAAGAACAUAAUUAAUAUGUAUUUUUAGAUUGAAU